UCUCCUUUUUCUAAUCAGUGAAACUAAUCUCCCCGUGAAGAAGCGAGGAUACACCUAUAAGACGAGAAGACCCUAUGGAGCUUUAAACAACACAGCAAUUACCUGCUAAACUAAGAAGUUUCUGAACAUUUUUAAUCUUUUAAGUAAUCUGACUGCAAGUUUUUGGUUGGGGUGACCACGGAGCAUAACAUAACCUCCAUGUUGAAAGAAUUCUUUCUAAGCCAAGAACAACCUUUCUAAGCAUCAAUAUAUUGACAUCCAUUGACCCAAUACAUUUGACCAACGAACCAAGUUACCCUAGGGAUAACAGCGCAAUCCACUUCAAGAGCUCCUAUCGACAAGUGGGUUUACGACCUCGAUGUUGGAUCAGGGUAUCCCAGUGGUGCAGCCGCUACUAAAGGUUCGUUUGUUCAACGAUUAAACCCUACGUGAUCUGAGUUCAG
RNAcentral lists this ribosomal RNA (443 nucleotides) under Rhinella diptycha (Cururu toad). RNAcentral's name for it is "partial large subunit ribosomal RNA". It matches the Rfam family "Bacterial large subunit ribosomal RNA", at positions 2019 to 2614 of the family's 2925-position model. The record is from RNAcentral. Lineage: Eukaryota; Metazoa; Chordata; Amphibia; Anura; Bufonidae.